AACUAUCAUUUUAAAAUUACGACUCAUUGUAGAAUGAUGUUAAGUAACACUCUUUCUCCCCAGCUAUCAAUGAUGUUAAGUAUUCUGCAAGCUUCCUCUCUCUCAUUCUGCAAGCUUUUCCAGAAACCAUCUUCCACCCCGUCGAAAAUCGUCUCUGGCGGCGGUGGAGUCCCAGACUCAUAAUAAACCCACUAUUCAACUCCUCUCUUCAUCUCCUUUCUAACCUCACCCUUUAAAUUACCAAAACCCUAGAGAAAACCCUCUGAUUCACUCAUGGAACCGAAACCCUACAUGUCUCUAAGUAUAAAUAAGCUCCAAACAUUGAGUAGAUUAAGAAAAUAAAGGGGAAAUCGUGCCAGCAUGAAGAAUUUAAUCACAUAGUAUGGUGAUUUGGCGUAAAGGAUAAAAGAGAAGUUGGUUUCGAUGCUUACCUAUCGGAGACGCUCCGAUGGCUCUUCAAUGGUGGUGGUGACAGAGAAAGAAACCUAGAGAUGUUGCGAUAUCCAACUUGUAGCCAGCAAUGGAGUUCAGAAUCCAUAUAUUACUUACAACCGUUGAAUCGGUAGAUCUUGCCAAAACCUCUGCAGCAUGUCGCCUUUGGCUAAAAGUGGCACCCUUUUCCAAAUGAUUGCAAUUAGCAGGAACGUCAAGAUUGUAGAUUACGAGGGCUUGGUGCGGCCGCAUAUGAUGUGAUACAUAAUCAUCUACUAGUUCAAAUUCAAACAAAGCAUCUUCAAUAUCAGCAUUAUGGAAACACUUUCUUUCCUUUGCAUCACCAACAAAUUUUCUCCACACAGACUUAUUAUUAACCAAUGUUGUAGCAUUUCUUAUCAUCCAAAGGCAAUGCCUAGCCCUAGUGAUUGCAACAUUAGCUCUUUGUAUAUUGGAAAGAAAACCAAAAUUUCCACUCAUAUUUGAUCUAGUUGUUGAUAUGAUUAUAAUGUCUUCUUCACUUUGGUAUCAUUCUCUUUGUCAAUGAAGAAUUCACACAUUUUUCCUUGAAGCCUUUUUUCCUCUGGGUAUGGUCCUUGACCCGUAAAAGAGCUUCUUUUUCUGUUAAAUCUUCACGUACAACGUCCAUUUCGAUUACACUGGAGGAAGAGCAUUCUCCAGAAUUAUCCAUCUCAUUAUUUAAGGAAUCUGAAACAAGUGCCAUAUUUGACUUUGAAGAGGAACAAGUAAUAUUCGGUUGCCACGACAUGUUUUUCAUAUGGAUCACAAGGAAGUUGGCUAAUGAGUAUAUAUGAUUUCGCGUCCGCACCACUUUGUGAAGUGCGCGAAUGCUCUUUAGAUGAUGCGAUAGACCUACCACAUCGAAAGAUGUUCUGAGGUCUCGAGCCAAGGCAUUGAAAAUUCUAGGAACCAUCUUUCAAGGUGCUAAUGUUGCUUUUAGGCGAGAGAAUAGUCUGCGCCGAGAAAGCGAGAGUCGGGUAGAAGCUGGUCCUUCAUCAUAGUCAUCAUCUUCAAUAUGGUUAUGGACUGAGUUAAUCAUUUUUUCAUGUCUUUUUGGAUCUCAAUGAAAUUUGAACCUUAUGUAUUUUGUUAAAAGAAGGGAAGAAUCAAUUUGCAUGUAAGUUUCUAACUUAGUGUGUAAAGCAAUUAAUGACUUGUGUUAUUAUAACUUAAGUGUCCAUUCUAAAUUCGUAUUUCAUUAGGGAGAUGAUAAUGAUAUAUAGAUGGACAUUCUUUUUGUAACUUCCACACCUAUGAUGAAGCAAUUGUUUCUUUGGCACAAUGUUUCUACAGCUUUUAGAAUUCCUUCAGAGGUUAUGCUAGUGCAUGCCGGAAUAUGAAGCUCUUUAAUGGAAGGGUUUUGUUCUAUGACCCUUUGUAGUCCUUGAUUAGUGAUGUGGAUACAGUUCACAAGAGCAAGUUUUUGAAGUCUACCAUUGGCUUUGGAUGUGACGUUCAACAGAGUCUCGUUGGUGGUUCGAUAAUUGAGAAGAGUUUCGAUGAUAAUACAAAGCCAUGGCAAUACAUCAUUAUUUCCCUCCUCAAAAUAAUGGGCACCAACCUGCAGUUUCCCUUUUACUUCCGCCGAUUGUUGUUCAUCCUUUUUUUUCUUUUAUAUAAUUGUACAAUUUAAACUAAAUGUAAUGACGGAUUGAAAUGUAAUAUAAAAGACAAAGGGAUUAAUUACUAUACGCAGUUAGUAGUUAGUGUAAAAAGUUUUACACUAUCAAUUCAUCACCAUCACUCAUUUGCAUUACUUUAUAAAUUUUUAAAAUAAAAGUCAAACUUGUUUCAAUA
Molecule: long non-coding RNA, 2250 nt
Organism: Lathyrus oleraceus (garden pea)
Lineage: Eukaryota; Viridiplantae; Streptophyta; Magnoliopsida; Fabales; Fabaceae
Exons: 3
Source: RefSeq, a predicted model, not a curated record